CUGUCACUUUUCUGCUGGUAGGCCGAACCAUCUCCUCUCUCUCUUUGAUUUUCACACUUCACUUCAUUACCAAAUUGGACACUUUGCUUCAUACAAUGAAAAUAAGGGAUCUUUUAUCUCUCAUCACUCCCACAAACCCAUGGCCCCUUUCAUUAUUCUUUUUGUGGUGAAAGCUUUUGGGUUAAAGAUUUUGUCUUUGUGACAACAGAACCAAAUCUAGGUCAGUGCCUUUUCACUUUGGAUGAUGCGUUCUUCCUUGCUGCCCAUAAGGGAAAGAGGUUCCUUGAUUGCGUGUGGGUGAGGCUACUGCCAAUGGGGCCAAAAGACCACAUGCAAAAGAGGUCCUACUUGAUGCAUUCUUCCUGCUGCCCAUAAGGGGGAGACAAAAUCUUGAAGGUAUGGGUGAGGCUACUGUCCAUGGGGCCAAAAGACUGAAUACCAAAGAGGACAAUAUCAUGCCAAUUGUAAAUGGGUGGAUCCCCUCGACUGGUCUAUGCGGUAGUAUGUUAUCUUUGUGAUAAAUUACCUUAUAUUAGAUUUUAUGGCUUUGGAAUUAUAUUGUUAGUGCUCACAGAUUAUAUUAUAUAGUUUCAAGGUAUUAUUUUGAGGACUUUGAGAAUAUUGUGGAUAUUUGGUUAUCGAAAUAUUUUAAGAAACUACUUGGAAGUGAA
This is a long non-coding RNA of Quercus robur (English oak), 671 nucleotides long. RefSeq lists it as uncharacterized. The transcript is spliced from 2 exons. The record is from RefSeq and is a predicted model, not a curated record. NCBI's taxonomy places the organism in Eukaryota, Viridiplantae, Streptophyta, Magnoliopsida, Fagales, Fagaceae.